GGUCGGUUAGCUCAGUGGUUUGAGCGCGGUGCUGACAUCAAUGACAACACCGAGAUCGCAGGUUCGAUUCCCACUCAGUCCC
Molecule: non-coding RNA, 82 nt
Organism: Apaloderma vittatum (bar-tailed trogon)
Lineage: Eukaryota; Metazoa; Chordata; Aves; Trogoniformes; Trogonidae
Source: Rfam